GAUGAACGCUGGCGGCGUGCCUAAUACAUACAAGUCGAGCGAACAGACGAGGAGCUUGCUCCUCUGACGUUAGCGGCGGACGGGUGAGUAACACGUGGAUAACCUACCUAUAAGACUGGGAUAACUUCGGGAAACCGGAGCUAAUACCGGAUAAUAUAUUGAACCGCAUGGUUCAAUAGUGAAAGACGGUUUUGCUGUCACUUAUAGAUGGAUCCGCGCCGCAUUAGCUAGUUGGUAAGGUAACGGCUUGCCAAGGCAACGAUGCGUAGCCGACCUGAGAGGGUGAUCGGCCACACUGGAACUGAGCCACGGUCCAGACUCCUACGGGAGGCAGCAGUAGGGAAUCUUCCGCAAUGGGCGAAAGCCUGACGGAGCAACGCCGCGUGAGUGAUGAAGGUCUUCGGAUCGUAAAACUCUGUUAUUAGGGAAGAACAAAUGUGUAAGUAACUAUGCACGUCUUGACGGUACCUAAUCAGAAAGCCACGGCUAACUACGUG
RNAcentral lists this ribosomal RNA (497 nucleotides) under uncultured bacterium. RNAcentral describes it as "partial 16S ribosomal RNA". It matches the Rfam family "Bacterial small subunit ribosomal RNA", at positions 28 to 507 of the family's 1533-position model. The record is from RNAcentral.